This 2117-nucleotide long non-coding RNA is filed under the name Mytilus galloprovincialis (Mediterranean mussel). The record is from RNAcentral. Lineage: Eukaryota; Metazoa; Mollusca; Bivalvia; Mytilida; Mytilidae.
GUCUGAACUUACUACUUUGGUAGACGAUACAAUAAUAAAUUGUUUAUGUUACAGAAGAAAAAUAAAAGAUUUUGGAAAAGCAAUUAUAAAGUAAGUUUACUUUAUGAAUAUAAUAUAUGGCGACACUAAAUAACGUUAUGAACGUUUUCAUGUGAAAUGAGAUACUUUGUAAUAAAUAAUAAUAAUCGGUUCAAAAAUAUGUAUUAAAAUGACAGUAGUUUAAGAGGAAUAUAUAACUUCUCGAGCUUAAAUAUAGUAUAGUUUCUUUUAUCAUAUGAAUUUAUCACUUAUUAAGAGUAAUAUGAUUACAAUAUUUGGUAUAUGGGAUACUUGCAUAUCUAUCUCCGACAGACAUGAUUCACCUGACCUCGAUUUCAUUUCGUGAAUCAUUGAUGAAGGUUAGGUUUUCUUCAUCGUCCGUAUCUCUUAAGCAACUAUUAUAGGUCAACUAAAGUGUGUGUAUGGAAUUGUUGUCAGAUGUACAAUGUACAAGUAUGCAUAUGAUUCACUUGACCUUGACAUUAUUGUUAAGAUUCAUUGGUAAAUUUUAUUGUGUUUUUUAAUAGUUAAGUUCGUUUCUAAUAUACUAUAAGCAAAAGGUUUACAGACGUUAGCUAUCGAAUGAUUGUAAGUGUACAUGUGUGUUUGUCAGGUUCAUAUGACCUUGACGUGAUUUGUAAUGUUUGGCAAAAGUCAUCUGACCUUGACCUCAUUUUAAAGUUCAUUCGUCAAACACAAUAUUUAUUUUGGCUAGUUUUGUUUCGUAGAUAUUAUUAGCAAUUGGUUAACUACAUUUUGUGUAUGGAAUGUUUGUAAGGCACAAAUGUCCGUCUGAUAGGUACCAUCUGACCUUGACAUCAUUUACAUGGAUCACUUUUCUUUAGGACUUUUAAUAUAAAAUGAAUCAUGAUCAAUAUUGAAGGAGAACAAUUUCAGCGUACACACCCAUGAUAGAUCUUUAUAAUAUUCUAACUGUGUCAUUAAUAAUUGAUUUUGGGUGCAAACGGCAAUUUGUAUGCAUAAGUUUCUUCUUAUUUUAUAGGAUGAUUACACUCGUUUUUUGUUUACUUUUGUUUGUAUUUGAUGUUCAGGGAACGACCAGUAACCUGGUACCCGCACAAAUGAAACAUCUUGGACCCCAAGGUAAUUAUUGAUAUUGAAUAUCUAGGAAUUUGUCGAUUUAUUAUUUUUUAGCUUAGGUAGCUUGGAACAAAAGACAUAUAUGUUUUAUGUGUCUCUGAUGGAACUACAUUAACUUCCAAAUGACUAAAAUCAGGUUUUGAUAGGAUUUUUGACAAAUGAGUCUUGACCUCACAUUUAAAAAUUUAGAGCCUUUUUGAUCAAAUCAUUUAAUUUAAUCUUUAACCCCUUUUAAAAUAGUCUUGAAUAAAAUACAGUACAUAUAUUUGUAAAGGAACAUUCUUAAUUUUUAAAAUACAUUCUGGAAUAAAAUACAGUAACAAAACAAACAACAUAAUUGGAAAAGAAACAUGCAAGAAACUAUUUUCAGAUAUUUUAUGUUUGUUUUCAUAUAAGUACAUUUUGUAGUGUAUUCCACUGCGUUUCGAACGCAAAAUGUAUAUUUAUUUAUUUUUCAGAAGCCUAUUGGGACCUUUUGGAGACGAUGUAUCAUAAUCCUUAUCAUGAUUUUUCUUGGCUUUUAAUGUAUAUUAUGUCUACCGAUGGAGAGGCAAUGGGCAUAGACAUUUAGCUUAUAUAUAAUGUUUCUUUUAUGUCUCUUUUUCAUUAACAAUUCAUUUUGCUUCAUUCCAAUAUUCAUUUAUUUUAAUAACAUAUGUUUUUUUUACCCAUAAUUAUACAAGUUUUAAAGUAAACAAAUAUUUAGCAAUUUUUUUUUCACGGUGAUUUUUACAUAUUAUGUAAAUGUAUUGCACAGAAUCAGUUAACUAAUCAGAGGCAAAAUAUGACAACAGGCGAAUUGAAAUGACGAAUAAAAGACAGAAAUGUAAUAAUAAAAAAAAGAAACACAACCGUUGAUAAUCAAUAGUUAAAGGAGUUACAUCAUAACUGUACAUUCUAGAACUGGGUCAUUGUCAUUGUACCUAAUAUAUUAUUAAAUGUUCCAGCUGUUUUUUAUUGCUGGUUUUAAUUGAAUA